Molecule: RNA transcript, 4542 nt
Organism: Andrographis paniculata
Lineage: Eukaryota; Viridiplantae; Streptophyta; Magnoliopsida; Lamiales; Acanthaceae
Exons: 13
Source: RefSeq, a predicted model, not a curated record
AAAAAAUUUUUGAUAAUUGCUCAACAGGAAACCAAAAAAACUGCGCAUUUCUGAGCUAUCUGGGAUUCUUCUACAAUUGAAGCAAGUCCCUCCGAAUUCCGCCUGAGCAAUCCGACGGCGACCGUCGCUCGUUGAUCCCCGGCCAUUGGAUUAGAUGACUUAUGUCGCCGGCCUUAGUUGACUCCGCAGCGCCGCCUUCAUCUGGUUACGAUCAGAUAUUCAUUUCCUCUGCACAAUAGCUCCGCAAGCCUUUCAGAUCAAAUGGAUCAGAAUUUCGGCUUCAAUUCGUCGUCAUUGGGACCCUCGACACCCGCUGCUGGACUCUCCCGCGCGGCGCGGUUCGCGAAGGUCCGGAAACCCUCGACCGGCCAUCGUCCCAAUUCCAAUCUAGUCCGCCCGGUGUGGCAGCCGAGUGGCAUCGAGUCCUCGCACAGUAAUUCAGGGUUUGACACUGCCAAACCCUCUUCUGAGUCGAGUGUGGAUCGUGGAUUUGUGUUUGGUUCCAAUGAUGGUGGUCGUGCUAACCCUAGCAGCAUUAGCAGUAGUAGUUCUUUAUUUGGUGAAACUGUUGCGGAUAGCAGUCUGGAAACAGGUAAAGUAGUGGAUGAGAUGAGGAGAUUGAAUAUUGAUAGGGGAAAGGCUUUUUCGAAUAGUAGUCACAGUACCACAGGCCAUAAUCCAAAUUUGAUGGGUACCGGUCGCUCAAUUAGAAGCGUGGAUCAGAUCAUGGAUUUUGGAUUGCCUGAUGAGAUGAGAAGGUUGCACAUUGAAAGAUCCUGGAGUGUUGGUGGCGGAGGUGAUGCUGACCAUUUGGAUUUUGAGCUUCCUAACAAGAUGAAAAAUUUGAAUGUUGAAGAUUCUUUGAACCAAUCAGUGAAAGAAAAGGUCUACAAUGCUCGUCCCAGCGACGUGUAUGGAGAAGAAGACAGUGGAAAUGCCAAUGUGUCAGCUGGCUUGAAUGCAACUGGAAAUGACACUGCUCACCUUAGGCCCGAAUCAAGUUUGCAUUUUGCUGCAGAAGCUGUGAAGGGCAUGCAUGCUAUGGGUGGUGAAAGUUUGCAAAAUGUUUCUGAAUUGUUCAAUACUAGUUUUAAUUUUCAAGCUGGAUCAAACAGCAGUAAUAGUGGUAGUCAAGGGAGUUUGAUACAAGAACAGGAUUCGACUUCGUCAACAUUGGGUGGCAUUCAUUUCAAACCAUUUGGGAGGGUCCCUGAGAUGCCAUUUGUGAGCCAAGAUGAAAAGAAAGUUGAGUUUAGUUUCACAAGCAAGUUGGGUAGUGGGAUACCGCAGCAUGUGGAGUUCAAGACACCAGAUCCAAUUGGAAACAAAAUAUUUGGCCUAAACAGAAUGGUCGAUACAAAGAGGGAAAUGGCUAAGGAAGGUGGAUUAAAGAAAAAGAAGGGCAAGUGGAAGAAGCCUAAUCAAGUUCCGACCAAGUUACCACAAGAAUUUUUAUUUCAUGAUAAUUUGGCAGAAAAUACAGAAUCUUCAGAACAAUAUUCGCCCAUGGACCUUUCCCCAUAUGAAGAAACACUUGCUGAUAGUACUUUUUCAAGAGAGACCUCAGUGGCAUCUGAGGAAUCUUCUCGUCUUGAUGAAAUAAAUACAUCAUGUGAAACAGGCCUAAAUGUUUCAAAUGACGAUGUUGAUGAUGUUUUAAUUUCUGCAACCAAAGACUUGCAUAUAAAUGAAUAUGAUGUAGCAGGCAAUGAAGGGCUAAAUGAAUCUAUUCAUUAUGCAAAUCAUGGUAUUAGGGUUGAGAGUCCUGAAGAAGGUGCUGUAUCAGGGGGUGAGACUGACAGUUUCAAGUCUGCUGCUGAUGAGUUGGAUUACAGUGUUGACUCCUUUGUUACUGCAGCUGAGACUGAAGUAAGUUCCAGCUAUAGUGAGAGACAACACAGUGAUGGAGACCAGUUGCAGAGUAUGUUCACCUUUUCUGCCUCUUCCUCUUCUGUCAAUGAGGUUCCUGCAUCAAUGCCUGCCCAGAAAAAGAAAAAUCGGGUCAAAUUCAGCCACGAUUCAUACAGCACCGCUCCAAGUAUCAAAGUUUCACAGGCAUCUUCAGACUUACCUUCAUUUCAAUUUUCUGGAUUUCCGGCAGCAUCUCCUCAGCAAGGUCACAGUGGUCACUUCCCUGAGUUGGGCUCAAAAAUGGAUAAGGCUGAGCAAGUCAAGGAAUUGGGAACUAAGCAAGAUUCUGCUACAGUUUCCAAUAUUGCUGUUCAGGAAUCUUGUGAGAAAUGGAGGUUGAGGGGGAAUCAAGCCUAUGCUAAAGAAGAUUUCUCUAGAGCUGAAGAUUGUUACACUCAGGGAAUUAAUUGUAUAUCCCCGAAUGUGACAUCUAGAAGCUGCCUCAGGGCUCUAAUGUUGUGUCAUAGCAAUCGUGCUGCAACACGCAUGUCACUUGGAAGACUGCGAGAAGCAUUGGAAGAUUGUUUAAGGGCUUCUACAAUAGAUCCAAAUUUCCUCAAGGCGCAAGUUCGGGCUGCAAGCUGUUAUCUAUCCCUAGGGGAAGUUGAGAAUGCAGCUCAGCAUUAUAUGAAAUGUUUGCAAGCAGGGCCUGAGGUCUGUGUGGACAGAAAGCUUUUAGUAGAGGCUUCUGAGGGCCUUGAGAACACGAAGAAAGUUGCAGAAUGUAUGAAGCAAGCGGGAGAACUUUUGAGACGAAGAACAUCCAGUGACAUUGAACAUGCUGUUGGUGUGAUUUCAGAAGCAUUGAGGAUAUGCACUUAUUCUGAAACUUUGCUUCAGAUGAAAGUGGAUGCUCUACUCAUGCUGAAGAAAUAUGAAGAGCUAAUUCAAUUUUCUGAGGGCAUUCUUGCUUUGGUGGAAUCAAAUUUUCUGUUAUCUGGUUGUUCUUUGCCCUUGGAGCUUCAUGGCUCUGACUUGCAGAGGGCUCCUUCCUUCAAGGUCUGGUGCUGGUCACAGAUCAUUAACUCCUACUUCUACUUAGGAAAACUUGAUGAUGCCCUCGGUUAUCUUAAGAAGGAAGAGGAAUCAGUUUUACUUGUGGAAAGACGCGAAAGCAGAAAACUUGAGUCCAUGAUUCCACUUGUCGGUACCAUACGGGAGUUGUUACGCCACAAGGUUGCAGGAAAUGAAUUAUACAAAUCAGGAAAAUAUGCUGAAGCUGUAGAACAUUAUACAGCAGCUAUAUCAUGCUCUGUUGAGUCGCGCCCUUUUUCUGCUAUAUGUUUUUGUAACCGUGCUGCAGCACACCGAGCUAUGGGCCAAAUUAUAGACGCCAUCUCAGAUUGCAGCCUUGCCAUUGCUCUGGAUGGAAGUUAUCACAAGGCACUCUCUCGAAGAGCAGCACUAUAUGAGAUGAUUAGAGAUUAUGAACAAGCAGCAGGGGAUCUUCAGAAACGUGUAUUCCUUCUCACAAACGAAUUAGAUAAGAAAGCUGAUAUAUCUGGAACAUUGGAUAAAGUGGACUAUUUGAACGAGCUUCAACAAGCUCGGCUUAAACUUUCAGAAAUGGAAGCAGCUGCCCAAAAUGAGAUUCCCCUGAAUGUGUAUCUUAUUCUGGGUGUCGAUUCAUCAGUCACUGCAUCUGAAAUUAAGAAGGCAUACAGAAAGGCUGCAUUGAAGUAUCAUCCAGACAAGGCUGGUCAAAUUUUCACAAGAAGUGAACAUACAGAUGACGAUAUUUGGAGGGAAAUAGCAAAUGAAGUGCAUAAAGAUGCAGACAAGCUAUUCAAAAUGAUUGGAGAAGCAUAUGCAGUACUUUCGGACCCUGUCAAGCGAUCACAAUACGACCUUGAAGAAGAGAGGCGAAAUGCACCCAGCAGAACCCAUGGCGGAAAUUCCUCCAAAGGGUAUUCUGAUUUCCAAAACUACGCAUAUGAUAGCAGCGGCAAUAGGAGACACUGGCAAGAUGUUCGGAGAUCAUAUGGGAACCCUACGCGAUGGUCCAAAAGAAACCAGUACAAUUGGUACUCAUGAAUGCUUCAUUUGGGAUGAAAUCCUACUGAUUCCUGUUGUAACAACACAGCCUUCUUCUUCCUCUCCCCAAAUAAAAUAUUCAUUUCGACAAAACCGAGAAGAAGACUACAGGUAGCUGAUUCCUGCCAGACAUCGGUCAUCGUUUCUGCAAAUUCGUCAUGAGGAAGACAACGCCACAGCAAAGCAGCACUGUCAUCGUCGACUCUUCAACAGCAAGUUCCGUACAACACUGGCAAAGCUUGGAGAUCGCCGGAGACAUUCAGAAAAUCUAAUUCUCGCAAUAAUUGUAUGAGAAUUGGAAGUAUAAGGAUUUACCAACGGAUGAACAUACUAACUGAGUCUCACUCAACGCCAAUUCAAUUCUUCAGUUAAAGUAAAGCCGACGGGAUGGUGAUUGGACCGAUUGAAGUGCUAAAGGAGCUGGGACCUUGGGUCCCGACUGUGGAAUGGAAUGGAAUGUAUCUCAAGUUUGUUUUUUAUGGAGUGUAUUGUUGUAAGUUUUAGUGCUUAAUUUUGUAGAUUUUGUUUUGUUUGUUUGAAUCGUAACUUUCGGAUUAAUUUAAAAUAAAAUAUUAAUUUAAAAUUUUAUUUAAAUAA